AGUGAACGCUGGCGGUAGGCCUAACACAUGCAAGUCGAACGGCAGCACAGUAAGAGCUUGCUCUUACGGGUGGCGAGUGGCGGACGGGUGAGGAAUACAUCGGAAUCUACUUUUUCGUGGGGGAUAACGUAGGGAAACUUACGCUAAUACCGCAUACGACCUACGGGUGAAAGCGGGGGAUCUUCGGACCUUGCGCGAUUGAAUGAGCCGAUGUCGGAUUAGCUAGUUGGCGGGGUAAAGGCCCACCAAGGCGACGAUCCGUAGCUGGUCUGAGAGGAUGAUCAGCCACACUGGAACUGAGACACGGUCCAGACUCCUACGGGAGGCAGCAGUGGGGAAUAUUGGACAAUGGGCGCAAGCCUGAUCCAGCCAUACCGCGUGGGUGAAGAAGGCCUUCGGGUUGUAAAGCCCUCUUGUUGGGAAAGAAAAGCAGCAGGUUAAUACCCCGCUGUUCUGACGGUACCAAAAGAAUAAGCACCGGCUAACUUCGUG
RNAcentral lists this ribosomal RNA (492 nucleotides) under uncultured bacterium. RNAcentral describes it as "partial 16S ribosomal RNA". It matches the Rfam family "Bacterial small subunit ribosomal RNA", at positions 29 to 507 of the family's 1533-position model. The record is from RNAcentral.